UACGGGGGGGGCAAGCGUUGUUCGGAAUUACUGGGCGUAAAGGGCUCGUAGGUGGCCAACUAAGUCAGACGUGAAAUCCCUCGGCUUAACCGGGGAACUGCGUCUGAUACUGGAUGGCUUGAGUUUGGGAGAGGGACGCGGAAUUCCAGGUGUAGCGGUGAAAUGCGUAGAUAUCUGGAGGAACACCGGUGGCGAAGGCGGCGUCCUGGACCAACACUGACACUAAUGAGCGAAAGCCAGGGGAGCAAACGGG
Molecule: ribosomal RNA, 253 nt
Filed under: uncultured bacterium
Lineage: Bacteria
Description: partial 16S ribosomal RNA
Rfam family: Bacterial small subunit ribosomal RNA
Source: RNAcentral